GACGAACGCUGGCGGCGUGCUUAACACAUGCAAGUCGAGCGGUAAGGCCCUUUCGGGGGGUACACGAGCGGCGAACGGGUGAGUAACACGUGGGUGACCUGCCCUCAGCUCUGGGAUAAGCCUGGGAAACCGGGUCUAAUACUGGAUAUGACUCCAUGACGCAUGUUGUGGGGUGGAAAGCCUUGUGCGGCUGAGGAUGGGCCCGCGGCCUAUCAGCUUGUUGGUGGGGUGANGGCCUACCAAGGCGACGACGGGUAGCCGGCCUGAGAGGGCGACCGGCCACACUGGGACUGAGACACGGCCCAGACUCCUACGGGAGGCAGCAGUGGGGAAUCUUGCGCAAUGGGCGAAAGCCUG
Molecule: ribosomal RNA, 357 nt
Filed under: uncultured bacterium
Lineage: Bacteria
Description: bacterial SSU rRNA
Rfam family: Bacterial small subunit ribosomal RNA
Source: RNAcentral